CAACCUACCUUAUACAGGGGGAUAGCCCGAGGGAAACCCGGAUUAAUACCCCGUAGUAUUUAUUUCCUGCAUAGGGAGAUUGAAUUAAAGCCUUCGGUCGGUAUAAGACGGGCAUGCGUAGGAUUAGCCUAGUUGGUAAGGUAACUGGCUUACCAAGGCGACAGAUCCCUUAAGGGGUUCCUGAGAAGGAAAGGUCCCCCACACAUGGCACUGAGAUACCGGGCCAGACGUCWUACGGGAGGCAGCAGUUACGGGAAUAUUGGGCAAUUGGUCGCAAGACUGACCCAGCCAUGCCAGCGUGCAGGAAGACAGGCGUUAUGCGUUGUAAACGUGCCUUUAUAUACGGGAAGAAUAAUGCCAGCUGCGGUGGAACAUUGCCGGUACCAGUAUGAAUAAGCACCGGCUAACUCCGUGCCAGCAGCCGCGGUAAUACGGAGGGUGCAAGCGUUGUCCGGAUUUAUUGGGUUUAAAGGGGUGCGUAGGCGGCCGUUUAAGUUCAGUGGUGAAAUGUACAGGGCUCAACCCCUGUAACUGCCAUUGAUACUGGCCGGCUUGAGUUUUGAUGGGGUACAUGGAAUUUAUGGUGUAGCGGUGAAAUUGCAUAGAUAUCUCAUAAGGAACACCGAUAGCGAAGGCAGUUGUACUUAUCAACUAACUGACGCUGAGGCACGAAAGCCGUGGGUAGCAGAACAGGAUUAGAUACCCUGGUAGUCCACGCCGUAAACGAUGAUCACCUCGUCUGUUAUCUCCUUCGCGGGGUAGUGGCAUUACGGAAACCGUUAAGUAUCCACCUGGG
This 796-nucleotide ribosomal RNA is filed under the name Bacteroidetes bacterium GCM68. Its description in RNAcentral is "bacterial SSU rRNA". It matches the Rfam family "Bacterial small subunit ribosomal RNA", at positions 122 to 877 of the family's 1533-position model. The record is from RNAcentral. Lineage: Bacteria; Pseudomonadati; Bacteroidota.